This 440-nucleotide ribosomal RNA is filed under the name uncultured bacterium. Its description in RNAcentral is "partial 16S ribosomal RNA". It matches the Rfam family "Bacterial small subunit ribosomal RNA", at positions 338 to 795 of the family's 1533-position model. The record is from RNAcentral.
CCUACGGGUGGCAGCAGUGGGGAAUAUUGCACAAUGAGGGAAACCCUGAUGCAGCGACGCCGCGUGAGUGAAGAAGUAAUUCGUUAUGUAAAGCUCUAUCAGAAGGGAAGAAAAUGACGGUACCUGAGUAAGAAGACCCGGCUAACUACGUGCCAGCAGCCGCGGGAAUACGUAGGGGGCGAGCGUUAGCCGGAUUUACUGGGUGGAAAGGGAGCGGAGACGGCAGUGCAAGUCUGGAGUGAAAGGCGGGGGCUCAACCCCCGGACCGCUCUGGAAACUGUACGGCUGGAGUGCAGGAGAGGUAAGUGGAAUUCCUUGUGUAGCGGUGAAAUGCGUAGAUAUUAGGAGGAACACCAGUGGCGAAGGCGGCUUACUGGACUGUAACUGACGUUGAGGCUCGAAAGCGUGGGGAGCAAACAGGAUUAGAUACCCGGGUAGUC